UGGGGAAUUUUGCACAAUGGGCGCAAGCCUGAUGCAGCGACGCCGCGUGAGGGAUGAAGGCCUUCGGGUUGUAAACCUUUUUCGCUCAUGGUCAAGCCGCAGCUUUGGGCUGUGGUGAGGGUAGUGGGUAAAGAAGCGCCGGCUAACUACGUGCCAGCAGCCGCGGUAAUACGUAGGGCGCGAGCGUUGUCCGGAAUUAUUGGGCGUAAAGGGCUUGUAGGCGGUUGGCCGCGUCUGCCGUGAAAUCCUCUGGCUUAACUGGGGGCGUUCGGUGGGUACGGGUUGACUUGAGUGCGGUAGGGGAGACUGGAAUUCCUGGUGUAGCGGUGGAAUGCGCAGAUAUCAGGAGGAACGCCGGUGGCGAAGGCGGGUCUCUGGGCCGUUACUGACGCUGAGGAGCGAAAGCGUGGGGAGCGAACAGG
Molecule: ribosomal RNA, 422 nt
Filed under: Verrucomicrobiota bacterium
Lineage: Bacteria; Pseudomonadati; Verrucomicrobiota
Description: Verrucomicrobia bacterium partial 16S ribosomal RNA
Rfam family: Bacterial small subunit ribosomal RNA
Source: RNAcentral